AAAAAUUUAAUGCUAAAACAAUUAUAAUAAUCAAGGGCCAGGUCUACCCUCAACUCUUACCAUCAUGGAGGUAAGAUGGAGUACCCUAAAAGAGCUCCGUUAGGUCUUUGCUAUCCAAAUAUCUCUAUCAGACACUAGCUACCACCCAUUUUUGUGCACAGGAAACAGCCUGCAUACCAUGCUAGCUAUCAAGCCACAGGCCCACAAGCCUACUUGUGGAUGACAAAUUAAAUUAAGAUGCAUGCUUUCUUCCUCGUGCAGUCAGCAUAUGUAAAUUUUGUCAGCUAUUAGUAAGAGCUAAACUGCUAGCACACAUAAAACCGAACCUUGUCUACUAUAUGAGUCAAUCUGUUUUCGCAAACAAGGAAUAAACAUAUGGAGAGUGACAAA
This 390-nucleotide long non-coding RNA is filed under the name Oryza brachyantha (malo sina). RNAcentral's name for it is "long non-coding RNA (OBRA_LNC003538)". The record is from RNAcentral. Lineage: Eukaryota; Viridiplantae; Streptophyta; Magnoliopsida; Poales; Poaceae.